CCAUUUCCUUCUCUUUAUCAUGCCUGUCCAUAGCCAUAGAUAUAAGUUUCUUUACAAAAUAAUAGUUAUAACCAGGCAUUCCAAGUUCACUCAAUUCAUCGGCAGUGGAGACAAUAUCAUCAGUUGCAAAGUAUUCCUCUACUAUUAUUGUUGUCUUCUUCUUGUACUCCUCAAAAUCUACUGUCAAUUUUCUCCCAGUUCCAUGAUCACAUUCCUCAUUGCAAUCAUACUUUGGGUCACUGGGAUCAACAGAAUAAUUGUAUUCUGUAUCAAGAAGUCCUCCCCAAGUACCUUCACCAUCUAUUUUAGAGCACCCAUCUCUAUCAUACUUGAGUAGGCUCCCCUUGCUUGGACUUCCUUUGCUAGUGCCAAGUUUGCCAUGUGCCUUUGGAGACCUGGGUGAGUUUGGGGGCCUUGGUGACUUUGGCCAUUUUGGAGACUUCGUAUUCACUGAGAUUUGCAAUGGAGAAACAGAUAAUGGUUCUGCACUUUCUGAAGCGGAUCGUGCAAGAUCUUGGUUUUUGUCUGAUAAAAAACUAUCACCGAACUCCAUCACCCUGAAAUUUUACUCAGCAAACCAAUCACUGGUUCAGAGAGGCAAAUUUGUAGACCAUCAAUCUGUGUAAACUAACUAAAUACUGAGUCAGCAACUCUGGCCAGUGGAAUCCUCUGUCGCUCAUCACAUAUUUUCUUGAAUCAGUAGAAGUAGUAAACCCUUGAAUUUUUUUAUCCACUUGCUCCAGUUCAAUAAGAACCUCGAAACAGAACACCCAGAGAGGAGGUCGCCAGAGCGACAGUGCGCGCCGGCGAUCGGAAAAUGGUAAAACGUAGGUUGCCGGAUUUAGG
This 846-nucleotide unclassified non-coding RNA is filed under the name Hevea brasiliensis (rubber tree). Lineage: Eukaryota; Viridiplantae; Streptophyta; Magnoliopsida; Malpighiales; Euphorbiaceae. The record is from RNAcentral.